GGUCCUGUGGCGCAAAGGUAGCGCAUCUGACUCCAGAUCAGGAGGUUGUCCGUUCGAAUCGGGUCGGGGUCA
Perkinsus marinus ATCC 50983 is the source of this 72-nucleotide non-coding RNA. NCBI's taxonomy places the organism in Eukaryota, Perkinsozoa, Perkinsida, Perkinsidae. The record is from Rfam.